Parus major (Great Tit) is the source of this 555-nucleotide long non-coding RNA. RefSeq lists it as uncharacterized. Lineage: Eukaryota; Metazoa; Chordata; Aves; Passeriformes; Paridae. The record is from RefSeq and is a predicted model, not a curated record. The transcript has 2 exons.
UGGGCCCUGCUGCUGGGGAGAUGCUAAAAUAUAUGUGGGCAAGGCCAAGCCCAUGCUGGGUGCAGAAGGGAGCAUGGAGCAGUGAGGACAAAGGCUGAAAGAGGCUCCAGAAGGCAAGCUGAGAUGGCACAGCAGCACCUGUAGCUGGGCUGGGCUCUAUCUGGAAAAAAAAUAAAAAGAAAAAAAAAAAAAAGAGAGAAAAAAGGGCAGGGAUAGCUCAGGUGAUAAUUGUUAAUUAGCUCUUGUUUGCAGGGAGUUUGGGGGCUCAGUCAGAAGCAGGUGAAGAGUUUGGAGCUGGUUUUGCAGAGCAGGUGGAGAUUGCCAGCCUUUUUAAAAGUAGUAAUGUCUCAUCAGCCAAGGAACUGCAGAACUGGGUAGGAGGCACCAGAAAAACAUGGAAGCACCACAUUUUCCCCAGUCACUCAGUAGACAUCAUUUCCAACUGCUCAGUGCUGAAAGGUGCUAUCUUCAGAGUGAGCUGCUGACCUUCACAUCCAUUCAGGAGAGAUUACUGCCGGUUUUGAAUAACUAAAUAAAAGUAGUGAUUUCCACUCA